GAUCGAAGUCUGCAACCCGACUUCGUGAAGCUGGAUUCGCUAGUAAUCGCGCAUCAGCCAUGGCGCGGUGAAUACGUUCCCGGGCCUUGUACACACCGCCCGUCACACCAUGGGAGUCGGAAAUGCCCGAAGCCGGUGACCCAACCAAAAGGAGGGAGCCGUCGAAGGCAGGUCUGAUAACUGGGGUGAAGUCGUAACAAGGUACC
RNAcentral lists this ribosomal RNA (206 nucleotides) under uncultured bacterium. RNAcentral describes it as "partial 16S ribosomal RNA". It matches the Rfam family "Bacterial small subunit ribosomal RNA", at positions 1296 to 1500 of the family's 1533-position model. The record is from RNAcentral.